Molecule: long non-coding RNA, 700 nt
Filed under: Drosophila guanche
Lineage: Eukaryota; Metazoa; Arthropoda; Insecta; Diptera; Drosophilidae
Source: RNAcentral
CUACAGCCACAGGUGAGCAGCCUUUUAUGGUUUCUACUGUGCCAGCCCUGGAUGGCAACAUAUCGUAUUUUCGGACAGCUAAAUUCUUGUUCCUAGGAUUUGAUUGUAGUUUUAGGGUGGCUUAUGCUAUGUAUGGGUAUGUAUGGGAAGCGGGAUCGUAUCUGAUUGUCUAAAGGCUCGAGUCGAAACUAGAUUUACAAGUAUUGCGUGCUAGAGAGCGUAGAGAGUGCGGCAGAGGAGACAUAGCCACAGCCAGAACAGGAAACUUGAACUCCACUAUACUUCAUGGACAUAGCCAAGCCGGCAGAGACUGGGGGAAGUGGCUGGGAAAAUGCGGAAAGCCUUUCUCAUAUUUUUGCAUGAACUCAUCACAGAGAGACGAUUUAUCUGCUCAACGAGUGCCCGAAUAUAAUGUACAUACAUAUAAUGUCGUUGAAUGAAAAUUCUGGCAUACUCGUGUGUGUGUAUGGAGUGUGAGCGUGUAGACUGUGUAUGUACAUAAUGUAGAACACACCCGCACACAGAUGUCUGUCUGUCAUUGCAGACUUAUUACUGCCUGUGACUAUAUGUAUAAUAUUGAGCUUCGAAUAAAUAGUUUUGUUGAUAAAAAACAAACCUCACACACAUAGUACGAGGGAAGGGGCGGAAGCCGCUCGGGAGGCGGCCAGCCCGAGAGACGAGACUCUCGAUUCGACUCGAG